GACGAACGCUGGCGGCGUGCCUAAUACAUGCAAGUUGAGCGCUGAAGGUUGGUACUUGUACCAACUGGAUGAGCAGCGAACGGGUGAGUAACGCGUGGGGAAUCUGCCUUUGAGCGGGGGACAACAUUUGGAAACGAAUGCUAAUACCGCAUAAAAACUUUAAACACAAGUUUUAAGUUUGAAAGAUGCAAUUGCAUCACUCAAAGAUGAUCCCGCGUUGUAUUAGCUAGUUGGUGAGGUAAAGGCUCACCAAGGCGAUGAUACAUAGCCGACCUGAGAGGGUGAUCGGCCACAUUGGGACUGAGACACGGCCCAAACUCCUACGGGAGGCAGCAGUAGGGAAUCUUCGGCAAUGGACGAAAGUCUGACCGAGCAACGCCGAGUGAGUGAAGAAGGUUUUCGGAUCGUAAAACUCUGUUGGUAGAGAAGAACGUUGGUGAGAGUGGAAAGCUCAUCAAGUGACGGUAACUACCCAGAAAGGGACGGCUAACUACGUG
This 497-nucleotide ribosomal RNA is filed under the name uncultured bacterium. RNAcentral's name for it is "partial 16S ribosomal RNA". It matches the Rfam family "Bacterial small subunit ribosomal RNA", at positions 28 to 507 of the family's 1533-position model. The record is from RNAcentral.